This 468-nucleotide ribosomal RNA is filed under the name uncultured bacterium. Its description in RNAcentral is "partial 16S ribosomal RNA". It matches the Rfam family "Bacterial small subunit ribosomal RNA", at positions 28 to 507 of the family's 1533-position model. The record is from RNAcentral.
GACGAACGCUGGCGGCGUGCUUAACACAUGCAAGUCGAACGGAAAGGCCCUGCUUUUGUUGGGUGCUCGAGUGGCGAACGGGUGAGUAACACGUGAGUAACCUGCCCUUGACUUUGGGAUAACUUCAGGAAACUGGGGCUAAUACCGGAUAGGAUCUCCUGCUGCAUGGUGGGGGUUGGAAAGUUUCGGCGGUUGGGGAUGGACUCGCGGCUUAUCAGCUUGUUGGUGGGGUAGUGGCUUACCAAGGCUUUGACGGGUAGCCGGCCUGAGAGGGUGACCGGCCACAUUGGGACUGAGAUACGGACCAGACUCCUACGGGAGGCAGCAGUGGGGAAUAUUGCACAAUGGGCGGAAGCCUGAUGCAGCAACGCCGCGUGCGGGAUGACGGCCUUCGGGUUGUAAACAGAUUUCGCCUGUGACGAAGCGUGAGUGACGGUAAUGGGUAAAGAAGCACCGGCUAACUACGUG